GGGGACGUGCCAUCGCCAGGCUCUAUCUCAGCAAGAGGAGGACAAGUCUGCAAUCUUCAAGCCAACAUACUCCUGCAUUCAUGGAUGAGUCACUGGAUCGGGUGGCGGGUCUUGUCGAGGAAUGUCUAAAUGCUGGUAAGCG
Lolium rigidum is the source of this 142-nucleotide long non-coding RNA. RefSeq lists it as uncharacterized. The transcript has 4 exons. The record is from RefSeq and is a predicted model, not a curated record. NCBI's taxonomy places the organism in Eukaryota, Viridiplantae, Streptophyta, Magnoliopsida, Poales, Poaceae.